Chelonia mydas (Green sea turtle) is the source of this 1267-nucleotide long non-coding RNA. RefSeq lists it as uncharacterized. NCBI's taxonomy places the organism in Eukaryota, Metazoa, Chordata, Testudines, Cheloniidae. The record is from RefSeq and is a predicted model, not a curated record. The transcript is spliced from 3 exons.
AGUGAGUCUUUCUCUAGCUUGACCUGGCUGCCUGCCUGGGAGAGAAGGGUACCUGAGGUAGAGUUGUGCUGGGGAAAAGGCAAAAGGAGCUGGGGAGCUCCAGCCUGGUAAUUCCCCAGGCUGCAGGCCUUGUGCAAGGCCUAAAGAAGGAGAACACACUGGAUCUUGGAACUUCCCUGAUGAAGAAUUCUGAUGAUGAGCUUCAGUCACUCAAAAUAUCCCUUUGGCCAUGAGUGUCUCAGAUGCUCUCCUAUAUUGCAGCUUAUGCGAUGAAGCUUCAGUUAUGGGAAGAGGGGAUUGCAGAGGAAGAGUGGGUGAUGACAGGAAAGAGAAGGAUUCACGCUUCUACAUGCUCCCUGCCACACACAAGAGCCUGCGGAAGCAACUUGGCCACUAGGCUGGUGGGUCUGUGAAUCAAGAGAAGGGGAGGAAGAAAAACAUGCUUUGGAGGGUACUAAAGAGCGGCUGGUUACCCAUGUGGAUAUCUACAUGGAAUUAGUGCUGAUCCUGGCAGCACUAAUUUCCACUCUGCACCUGCACCCCUCCUGGUGAUUUUGCACAACUGUAGGCAGGACAGCCAAUGGCAACAUGACUCCUGGAGUACCUAUGUUCCCAGGAGGACAGGACGGUUGGACAGAACUGUGGAUAGAUAGCUCCUCUGCUGGCUGAGUGCUUCUUUCCCCACUGAUUCUGAGAAUCAAUGGGUUCAGAUGCCUCACUUCCCCACCCACCUCCUCUGGAACCCCCAACACUCUCUACUCAAGAGGUGCAUUAGCUGGAAACUCUGAGUUGAAACAGAGCUAAUAAUUUCACCCACCGGCAGAUCCACACACCAAUGCCUGGAAAAGAUUAAAGGGACAGAUUCUAUAAGUUUGGCUUUCCUGGUCAUGCAUACAACCAUCUAUGUUUUGUGAAUGAGCCUCCAAAAUGGAGCCCUCGGUAAGGUGCAGUAACUAUAUUAAAAAAAUUGUGAUAAGUUAAGGACAGAAUAUGAGAUGUUAUCACAGUUUUUAGUACAGUUCUGCUAUUAAUUAGUGCAACAUUAUCCUUUCUUUUAGGAAGACUUACACUGAAUGUGAAUAGAAUGUGAGGCAAUCAGCUAUGCCCAGGUGGAGCCCUGUGCCUGCAUAGACCUGAUUGCAUGAUCAGGGCCUAAAUUAUUCCCUAUGGGCCAGAUUCUGUAAGUACUCUGUGAGCAGAACUCCCACUUGAAUCCACCAGCAUUCCACAUCCAGAGGUGACACAGAACCACACCCUAUGUUUUUAA